RNAcentral lists this ribosomal RNA (1956 nucleotides) under human gut metagenome. RNAcentral describes it as "bacterial LSU rRNA". It matches the Rfam family "Bacterial large subunit ribosomal RNA", at positions 3 to 1985 of the family's 2925-position model. The record is from RNAcentral.
UCAAGCAAGAAAGAGCAUAUGGUGGAUGCCUUGGCACUGAGAGCCGAUGAAAGACGUGAUAAGCUGCGAUAAGCGCCGGGGAGGAGCAAAUAUCCUUUGAUCCGACGAUUUCUGAAUGGGGAAACCCAUCUGGAUGAACUCCAGAUACACAUAAGUGAAUACAUAGCUUAUGUGGGGGAACCCGGGGAACUGAAACAUCUAAGUACCCGGAGGAAAAGAAAGAAACAUCGAUUUCCUUAGUAGCGGCGAGCGAACGGGAAAGAGCCCAAACCAUCGUGCGUGCAUGAUGGGGUUCGGACUGCAAUAUAUGAGCGACAGGAUAGGAGAACGGUCUGGGAAGUCCGGUCACAGAGAGUGAAAACCUCGUAUCCGAAAUCCGAAUCGCAGUUAGCAGUAUCCAGAGUACCGCGGGACACGGGAAACCCUGCGGGAAUGAGCGGAGACCACUCCGUAAGGCUAAAUACUACUCAGUGACCGAUAGAGCAUAGUACUGUGAAGGAAAGGUGAAAAGAACCGCGGGAGCGGAGUGAAAGAGAACCUGAAACCAUAUGUUUACAAGCUGUGGAAGCACUUUAUAUGUGCAACCGCGUACUUUUUGUAGAACGGUCCGGCGAGUUACGCUGGCUGGCGAGGUUAAGUCAUCAAGUGACGGAGCCGAAGGGAAACCAAGCCUGAAUAGGACGAGUUAGUCAGUCAGAGUACACCCGAAACCGGGUGACCUAUCCAUGUCCAGGAUGAAGUUGCCGUAAAAGGCAAUGGAGGUCCGAACACACAUCCGUUGAAAAGGGUGGUGAUGAGGUGUGGAUAGCGGAGAAAUUCCAAUCGAACCCGGAGAUAGCUGGUUCUCCUCGAAAUAGCUUUAGGGCUAGCCUCGAGACAGUCUAAUGGAGGUAGAGCACUGAAUUUCCUAGGGGGCGUCAAAGCCUACCGAAGAAUAUCAAACUCCGAAUGCCAUGUAGAUGAUUCUCGGGAGUCAGACUGCACGAGAUAAGUUGGGUGGUCAAAAGGGAAAGAGCCCAGACCUGCAGCUAAGGUCCCCAAGUUGGUGUUAAGUGGAAAAGGAUGUGGGAUUUCCAAAACAGCUAGGAUGUUGGCUCAGAAGCAGCCAUACAUUUAAAGAGUGCGUAAUAGCUCACUAGUCGAGAGGUCCUGCGCCGAAAAUGUCCGGGGCUGAAACACCACACCGAAGCUCAGGAAUCAUGCUUAUGCAUGAUUGGUAGAGGAGCAUUGCAUACGGAACGAAGCAGUACCGGUAAGGAGCUGUGGACUGUAUGGAAGAGAGAAUGCCGGAAUGAGUAGCGAGAAUGAAGUGAGAAUCUUCAUGGCCGAAUAUCCAAGGUUUCCGGGGUAAAGCUGAUCUGCCCCGGGUAAGUCGGGACCUAAGGCGAGGCUUAAGUGCGUAGCCGAUGGACAACAGGUUUAGAUUCCUGUACUUCCCAUGAACAGAACUGUGGGGACACAGCAGACGGAGCGCGAGCCGGAAAAGGAAAGUCCGGCGCAAGCGGUGAGUGUGUCAGGAGGCAAACCCCCUGUAUAAACACAAGCCGUGAUGCGGAGCGAAAUACAAGUAGCGAAGAGCGCCGAGCCGCUGUCGAGAAAAGCCGCUAUUGUUUUGUGGGAACCCGUACCGUAAACCGACACAGGUGGAUGAGGAGAGAAUCCUAAGGCCGGCGGGAGAAGCAUUGUUAAGGAACUCGGCAAAAUGACCCCGUAACUUCGGGAGAAGGGGUGCUCCAGAGAUGGAGCCGCAGAGAACUGGCCCAAGCAACUGUUUAGCAAAAACACAGGUCUAUGCAAAACCGAAAGGUGAGGUAUAUGGGCUGACGCCUGCCCGGUGCUGGAAGGUUAAGAGGAGAUGUUAGCCGCAAGGUGAAGCAUUGAAUUUAAGCCCCAGUAAACGGCGGCCGUAACUAUAACGGUCCUAAGGUAGCGAAAUUCCUUGUCGGGUAAGUUCCG